RNAcentral lists this ribosomal RNA (481 nucleotides) under uncultured bacterium. RNAcentral's name for it is "partial 16S ribosomal RNA". It matches the Rfam family "Bacterial small subunit ribosomal RNA", at positions 28 to 507 of the family's 1533-position model. The record is from RNAcentral.
GACGAACGUUGGCGGCGUGCUUAAUACAUGCAAGUCAACUGAAGCAGUGGUAGCAAUAUCGCUGUGGAGGUGGCGCACGGGUGAGUAACACGUAGGUAAUCUGCCUUCAGGUCUGGCAUAACUCCGGGAAACCGGGGCUAAUAGCAGAUGAUGCAGCGGCUCGACAUCGAGACAGUUGUUAAAGCUAUGGCGCCUGAAGAUGAGCCUGCGUCUGAUUAGCUAGUUGGCGGGGUAACGGCCCACCAAGGCAACGAUCAGUAGCUGGUCUGAGAGGAUGAUCAGCCACACUGGAACUGAGACACGGUCCAGACUCCUACGGGGGGCGGCAGUAAGGAAUAUUGCUCAAUGGGAGAAAUCCUGAAGCAGCAACGCCGCGUGAGGGACGAAGGGCUUUUGCUUGUAAACCUCUGUAGUGAGAGAAAAAAAUCCCAAUCUUUGGGACAUGAUGGUAUCUCAAAAGUAAGCCCCGGCUAACUACGUG